UGUUGAUAUAAAACCAUUUACAUAAUCAUUAUAUUCCAGUUUUUCAGUAUAAGCUUGAUCACCGGCUAUCGCAAAAUGGACCAUUUGAUGUACCAGGCCAUCGCCCAGCAUCCAGUACUGCUGCAAAAAGAAAAUAGUCUCCGUUCCUUUAUUUCGUAACGUAAGUGUAGCUCCGGUUGUGUAUAGGUUAUAUCGAAACUUUCUACACGUCGAACCGAAUUCAUCAGGUUGGGAUUGUUAGUCGAUUUCGGUAAUUUUUUACGUCACGAAUCGCUCCAAAAUGUCCUGGCUUGAGAGGGCUACGAGUUUGGUUGUUAUCUAUAAUGGACUCGAACUUAUUCUGUUCAUAUUUCGUUCUAUAUCGAUUGAUAGCAUUUCGUCGGUGAGUAUUACGUAAAGGCGUUCUUGGUACAUAUCGUGAACCUGAUGGCUUAAGUAUUACUUUUAGAUUUUUUGUAUUAAUCGGUUUUCUUUCAGGAGACUUGCGGCGUAUUUGAAUCAUAGUUUUGCUGGUUUUGGUUGGCGAUGAUAGUUUUUUCGGUGGUGAUUUCUCCAGCGGGAUUUUGAAUUCAUCUGUUUUUUCUUUUUGUAGAUGUUCAUGUUUCCAAUUCGUAUCCUCGUCCGGUCUUGGUCUGGGCCUUGCCCAAGUGAUUUGUUGCAGCUUGAGCAAGUAAUGAUGUUUACUCGUAUUGCUUCCAUUUUCUUCCUAGUUGGUUCAGAAUACGGCUUUUCUUCCAUGAAUUACGUUACGAAGAUGAAAUCUGGUGCCCAGGAUUGAACGGAACUGGAUACGCUUGGUAAUAAUCGAAUUCGGAUUACGUAAGAUGAAAAUUUUUCUUUGGCCAAGCACGACGAUCUGCUACACGUGUCUGAGAGUCUGUUGGACGUUCUAUAUUGUAAUCCAAUGUACUUUAUACAUAUUUUAUUGAUGUAUUGUUUUGUACUUACGUGUAACUAUUGUCUUGGUGGAUUAUUUUCGAUGUGUUAUUUGUAAUAACUUCUUGGUAGCAUUAAACUUUUGAAUUUUACUAAGCUGUUGUACUUGUACGAAAUAAAAUACCAUUUGUUAUCUCAAUGUCUCACUGUAA
Molecule: long non-coding RNA, 1088 nt
Organism: Planococcus citri (citrus mealybug)
Lineage: Eukaryota; Metazoa; Arthropoda; Insecta; Hemiptera; Pseudococcidae
Exons: 2
Source: RefSeq, a predicted model, not a curated record